AACUGCGGACGGCUCAUUAUAACAGUAAUAGUUUCUUUGGUUAGUAAAAUACAAGGAUAGCUUUGUGAAUGAUAAAGAUAAUACUUGAGACGAUCCAGUUUGUAUUAGUACAAAAUGGCCAAUUCAUUCAAUGAAUUGAGAAAUGACAUUCUAAGUGAGUUAGGAUGCCACGACAAUUGUAGAACACACAGUGUUUAACAAGUAACCAAUGAGAAUUUCUGAUCUAUCAAUCAGUUGGUAGUAUCGAGGACUACCAAGAUUAUAACGGAUAACGAGGAAUUGGGGUUCGACAUCGGAGAGGGAGCUUUACAGAUGGCUACCACUUCUAAGGAAGGCAGCAGGCGCGUAAAUU
This 352-nucleotide ribosomal RNA is filed under the name Entamoeba histolytica. RNAcentral describes it as "SSU rRNA". It matches the Rfam family "Eukaryotic small subunit ribosomal RNA", at positions 85 to 442 of the family's 1831-position model. Lineage: Eukaryota; Evosea; Mastigamoebida; Endamoebidae. The record is from RNAcentral.